AGCGAACGCUGGCGGNUNGCCUAAUACAUGCAAGUCGAGCGGUCCCUUCGGGGGCAGCGGCGGACGGGUGAGUAACGCGUGGGAACGUGCCCUUUGGUACGAAACAACUGAGGGAAACUUCAGCUAAUACCGUAUGUGCCCUUCGGGGGAAAGAUUUAUCGCCAUUGGAGCGGCCCGCGUUAGAUUAGCUAGUUGGUAGGGUAAUGGCCUACCAAGGCGACGAUCUAUAGCUGGUCUGAGAGGAUGAUCAGCCACACUGGGACUGAGACACGGCCCAGACUCCUACGGGAGGCAGCAGUAGGGAAUCUUGCGCAAUGGGCGAAAGCCUGACGCAGCCAUGCCGCGUGAAUGAUGAAGGUCUUAGGAUUGUAAAAUUCUUUCACCGGGGACGAUAAUGACGGUACCCGGAGAAGAAGCCCCGGCUAACUUCGUG
Molecule: ribosomal RNA, 433 nt
Filed under: uncultured bacterium
Lineage: Bacteria
Description: bacterial SSU rRNA
Rfam family: Bacterial small subunit ribosomal RNA
Source: RNAcentral